This 433-nucleotide ribosomal RNA is filed under the name uncultured bacterium. RNAcentral describes it as "bacterial SSU rRNA". It matches the Rfam family "Bacterial small subunit ribosomal RNA", at positions 958 to 1392 of the family's 1533-position model. The record is from RNAcentral.
AACGCGAAGAACCUUACCAAGGCUUGACAUGUAGAGGAAAAGUGCAGAAAUGCACUUCCCGCAAGGUCUCUACACAGGUGGUGCAUGGUUGUCGUCAGCUCGUGUCGUGAGAUGUUGGGUUAAGUCCCGCAACGAGCGCAACCCUCGUCCUAUGUUGCCAGCACGUUAUGGUGGGAACUCAUGGGAUACUGCCGGGGUCAACUCGGAGGAAGGUGGGGAUGACGUCAAAUCAUCAUGCCCCUUAUGUCUUGGGCUUCACGCAUGCUACAAUGGCCAGUACAGAGGGCUGCAAUACCGUAAGGUGGAGCGAAUCCCAAAAAGCUGGUCUCAGUUCGGAUUGAGGUCUGCAACUCGACCUCAUGAAGUCGGAGUCGCUAGUAAUCGUAGAUCAGCAACGCUACGGUGAAUACGUUCCCGGGUCUUGUACACACCG